CUUGGCAGAAUAUGUGGGAUCUUACACUAGAUACUGAUUUGUUAAAGGAACUGCCUAAAAAGUACACGUUUGAAGAUUUGAUUGUAGGCAUCUUUUGCAUAUAUUCUUUGUUGUAUAACAUUCUAUAUUUCUGUUGAUCACUUUAAGCAUUAACAUCAUUUCAAUUGUGUAUCAGGAUAACUCAUUGCAUGUUGUAUGGUCUAAUCAUGCAGGCCACAGAAAAUUAAUAAGGUAUGGAAAUUCUUCCAGCUCAGCUCAUGCUUUGGUUUAUGAAAAGGAACAAUGCAGGUGACCAAAUUUGAAUGGUGGCCGCCGCAUCUCAACUUGAUCAAGAUUGAAGUGAAUAAUGAAGAAUUUUUAAACUAUUUUUAUAUACGUUUGAAUACAUAUGAUUUUGUGUAAAACUUACUACAAAUAUUUAAAAUUUUGUUUUCUAAUUUGUAUGUGUGGUAAAAGACAUGAUUUUUUAAGUUCAUUGCAAAUCUACGCAUUUGAAUUA
Long non-coding RNA from Capsicum annuum, 499 nucleotides. RefSeq lists it as uncharacterized. The transcript is spliced from 2 exons. The record is from RefSeq and is a predicted model, not a curated record. NCBI's taxonomy places the organism in Eukaryota, Viridiplantae, Streptophyta, Magnoliopsida, Solanales, Solanaceae.